Molecule: unclassified non-coding RNA, 311 nt
Filed under: Hevea brasiliensis (rubber tree)
Lineage: Eukaryota; Viridiplantae; Streptophyta; Magnoliopsida; Malpighiales; Euphorbiaceae
Source: RNAcentral
AAGAUCACCAGUGAGUUCGUAGCUAAGUGAGUAAUAGAAGUAGAGCCUAGAUGCUAGCACAUCAACCGUUCUCCUAUUCAAGUUCUUCAAUCGGGCAAUGCUUGCUGAAGCACAAGCCUUAGCCUCAUCAUAUUUCUUCUGAUCAAUCAGAAAUAUUAGCAAAACCAAAUAGCAGAAAAUCUCUAUCUCGGGUAAGGGGUGUUUUGCAGGUGCCUGUGUUGCCGAGUCAACAUCCAUUUCGUAGUCAUCCUCCUUCGGAAUAAAUGAGGAUAAUCUUGAGUGCAAAUCGGAUCCUGGCGGGAGAGCAAAAU